Molecule: unclassified non-coding RNA, 266 nt
Filed under: Chorda filum
Lineage: Eukaryota; Phaeophyceae; Laminariales; Chordaceae
Description: ITS2
Source: RNAcentral
GACACCACUCGCCGGCCCCGCCCGUUGCUCUUCAUAGGCGUCGGGGAGGUUGCGCGCGGACUCUGCGUGUUCCGGACGUCGUCAAAAAACGUCCGAGUGCACCGAACUUCGUGAACGAAACUUCUACCGCCCUUGCUGCACAGAGUUGUUGACGGCGUUCGCUUCGGCGGCGACUCUCGACUCGUUUAUUGCUCCAAGUAUAUCGGUAGGGGCGAUUCCGGUUGCGCCUCCGCCACUCCGGGUGGCGGAGCCCCCCACUACUUUCG